Molecule: ribosomal RNA, 251 nt
Filed under: uncultured Burkholderiales bacterium
Lineage: Bacteria; Pseudomonadati; Pseudomonadota; Betaproteobacteria; Burkholderiales
Description: partial 16S ribosomal RNA
Rfam family: Bacterial small subunit ribosomal RNA
Source: RNAcentral
UACUGGGCGUAAAGCGUGCGCAGGCGGUUAUGCAAGACAGAGGUGAAAUCCCCGGGCUCAACCUGGGAACUGCCUUUGUGACUGCAUGGCUAGAGUACGGUAGAGGGGGAUGGAAUUCCGCGUGUAGCAGUGAAAUGCGUAGAUAUGCGGAGGAACACCGAUGGCGAAGGCAAUCCCCUGGACCUGUACUGACGCUCAUGCACGAAAGCGUGGGGAGCAAACAGGAUUAGAUACCCUGGUAGUCAAGGGCG